Molecule: ribosomal RNA, 307 nt
Filed under: uncultured eukaryote
Lineage: Eukaryota
Description: partial 18S ribosomal RNA
Rfam family: Eukaryotic small subunit ribosomal RNA
Source: RNAcentral
CCCUUAGACGUUCUGGGCCGCACGCGCGCUACACUGGCGAAGGCAACGAGCUUUCCUUUACCGAAAGGUACGGGUAAUCUUUUGAAACUUCGUCGUGCUGGGGAUAGAUCCUUGCAAUUUUUGAUCUUAAACGAGGAAUGCCUAGUAAGCGCAAGUCAUCAACUUGCGUUGAUUACGUCCCUGCCCUUUGUACACACCGCCCGUCGCUACUACCGAUUGAAUGGUUUAGUGAGGCCUUCGGAUCCGCGACUCGUUUGUGGAGAAGUUGGACAAACUCAGUCAUUUAGAGGAAGUAAAAGUCGUAACA